Trichoplusia ni (cabbage looper) is the source of this 290-nucleotide long non-coding RNA. RefSeq lists it as uncharacterized. NCBI's taxonomy places the organism in Eukaryota, Metazoa, Arthropoda, Insecta, Lepidoptera, Noctuidae. The record is from RefSeq and is a predicted model, not a curated record. The transcript is spliced from 3 exons.
UUUGUCAUUCAACACUUGUUAUCCAAGAAGAUUGAAAACAUUCCUACAUACACCAUGGCAAAAAUCUUCAACGUAUUCUUUAUUCUAUGUGUGAUCUGCUAUGUAGUGCAAGCUACACCUUUACCGAACUGUGGAAACGGCGGCUGCGGGCGCCACGACUUAGUCAAUGUAGACUUGGGCGCGAUUUUGGGUUCGCACGAUAACAAUGGUUGUAAUGGCUGCAAUGGCAACAAUUGUGGAGGUCAUUGUAAUUAGCACUCAUAAAAUUAAUAUUUUCAACAUAUAAAUUA